This 184-nucleotide ribosomal RNA is filed under the name Arthrobacter pascens. RNAcentral's name for it is "partial 16S ribosomal RNA". It matches the Rfam family "Bacterial small subunit ribosomal RNA", at positions 327 to 523 of the family's 1533-position model. Lineage: Bacteria; Bacillati; Actinomycetota; Actinomycetes; Micrococcales; Micrococcaceae. The record is from RNAcentral.
CGGUCCAGACUCCUACGGGAGGCAGCAGUGGGGAAUAUUGCACAAUGGGCGAAAGCCUGAUGCAGCGACGCCGCGUGAGGGAUGACGGCCUUCGGGUUGUAAACCUCUUUCAGUAGGGAAGAAGCGAAAGUGACGGUACCUGCAGAAGAAGCGCCGGCUAACUACGUGCCAGCAGCCGCGGUAA